This 429-nucleotide ribosomal RNA is filed under the name Pseudomonadota bacterium. Its description in RNAcentral is "Proteobacteria bacterium partial 16S ribosomal RNA". It matches the Rfam family "Bacterial small subunit ribosomal RNA", at positions 355 to 776 of the family's 1533-position model. Lineage: Bacteria; Pseudomonadati; Pseudomonadota. The record is from RNAcentral.
UGGGGAAUAUUGGACAAUGGGCGAAAGCCUGAUACAGCCAUGCCGCGUGUGUGAAGAAGGUCUUCGGAUUGUAAAGCACUUUAAGUUGGGAGGAAGGGCAGUAAGCGAAUACCUUGCUGUUUUGACGUUACCGACAGAAUAAGCACCGGCUAACUCUGUGCCAGCAGCCGCGGUAAUACAGAGGGUGCAAGCGUUAAUCGGAAUUACUGGGCGUAAAGCGCGCGUAGGUGGUUCGUUAAGUUGAAUGUGAAAGCCCCGGGCUCAACCUGGGAACUGCAUUCGAUAAUGGUUAGCUAGAGUGUGGGAGAGGAUGGUAGAAUUCCAGGUGUAGCUGUGAAAUGCGUAGAGAUCUGGAGGACUACCGAUGGCGAAGGCAGCCAUCUGGCCUAACACUGACGCUGAGGUACGAAAGCAUGGGGAGCAAACAGG